This is a long non-coding RNA of Macaca mulatta (Rhesus monkey), 480 nucleotides long. Lineage: Eukaryota; Metazoa; Chordata; Mammalia; Primates; Cercopithecidae. The record is from Ensembl.
GCACCAUCUGGUCCCCUGGGAGGUCAGUGCAGGGUUGCUCCAUUUUGACAUGAGUAAAUUCUAGAUUAGGUAUUUGGCAGCUAACUCAUCUGGAUAUAAGGAAACAGAAGUGCCAGACACGUAGAUAAUAUUUGAAGAACAGGAGCAUUCUUGGAACAUGCUGAAUAGAGGACAAGGAGAUGAGUAAAGAACUAUGAACAAAUCCAUUAAGUAUUCAAGAUUUAAGCAUUUAGAUAGUAAAUAGAGCAAACAGGGUGACAGAUAUCAGCCACUUGGUGUGUCUAGAGCAGUACUAAUUGACAGCUUGAGGCACAAGGAAGAGAUCGAGAAAAGUCAACCACUCCUUGCUUGAUGAUGCAAAUUGCAUCAAGACCCUUUGCCUUCAAAAAUUCACAUGCUGAAGAUGGCAUUAGCUUCCGAACUAAUAUUUCUGACGCUUCCUCUGAGAUAGUUUUUGAGACCAAAGAUUUUACAGAAUGA